UCCGAGUUGUCCCCGGCAGUCCCCUUAGAGUCCCCGGCAUUACCCGCUGGCAACUAAGGGCAGGGGUUGCGCUCGUUGCGGCACUUAAGCCAACACCUCACGGCACGAGCUGUCUCCAGAAACCGUCCUACCAUGUCAAACGCUGGUAAGGUUCUGCGCGUUGCUUCGAAUUAAACCACAUGCUCCACCGCUUGUGCAGGCCCCCGUCAAUUUCUUUGAGUUUUAACCUUGCGGCCGUACUCCCCAGGCGGGGUGCUUAAUGCGUUAGCUUCGGCACGGACGGAGUCGACACCGCCCACACCUAGCACCCAUCGUUUACGGCGUGGACUAC
RNAcentral lists this unclassified non-coding RNA (331 nucleotides) under uncultured bacterium. RNAcentral's name for it is "contains 16S-23S intergenic spacer region". The record is from RNAcentral.